AGUAACGCGUGGGAAUCUACCCUUUUCUACGGAAUAACGCAGGGAAACUUGUGCUAAUACCGUAUGUGUCCUUCGGGAGAAAGAUUUAUCGGGAAAGGAUGAGCCCGCGUUGGAUUAGCUAGUUGGUGGGGUAAAGGCCUACCAAGGCGACGAUCCAUAGCUGGUCUGAGAGGAUGAUCAGCCACAUUGGGACUGAGACACGGCCCAAACUCCUACGGGAGGCAGCAGUGGGGAAUAUUGGACAAUGGGCGCAAGCCUGAUCCAGCCAUGCCGCGUGAGUGAUGAAGGCCCUAGGGUUGUAAAGCUCUUUCACCGGAGAAGAUAAUGACGGUAUCCGGAGAAGAAGCCCCGGCUAACUUCGUGCCAGCAGCCGCGGUAAUACGAAGGGGGCUAGCGUUGUUCGGAAUUACUGGGCGUAAAGCGCACGUAGGCGGAUCGAUCAGUCAGGGGUGAAAUCCCAGGGCUCAACCCUGGAACUGCCUUUGAUACUGUCGAUCUGGAGUAUGGAAGAGGUGAGUGGAAUUCCGAGUGUAGAGGUGAAAUUCGUAGAUAUUCGGAGGAACACCAGUGGCGAAGGCGGCUCACUGGUCCAUUACUGACGCUGAGGUGCGAAAGCGUGGGGAGCAAACAGGAUUAGAUAC
Molecule: ribosomal RNA, 641 nt
Filed under: Rhizobium sp. I15B-00813
Lineage: Bacteria; Pseudomonadati; Pseudomonadota; Alphaproteobacteria; Hyphomicrobiales; Rhizobiaceae
Description: bacterial SSU rRNA
Rfam family: Bacterial small subunit ribosomal RNA
Source: RNAcentral